GAUUCCCCUAGUAACUGCGAGUGAAGCGGGAAAAGCUCAAAUUUAAAAUCUGGUGGUCUCCGGCCAUCCGAGUUGUAAUCUAGAGAAGUGUUACCCGCGUCGGACCGUGUACAAGUCUCCUGGAAUGGAGCGUCAUAGAGGGUGAGAAUCCCGUCUUUGACACGGACCCCCGAGGCUUUGUGGUGCGCUCUCAAAGAGUCGAGUUGUUUGGGAAUGCAGCUCAAAAUGGGUGGUAAAUUCCAUCUAAAGCUAAAUAUUGGCGAGAGACCGAUAGCGAACAAGUACCGUGAGGGAAAGAUGAAAAGAACUUUGGAAAGAGAGUUAAACAGUACGUGAAAUUGCUGAAAGGGAAACGCUUGAAGUCAGUCGCGUCGGCCGGAAAUCAGCCUUGCUCUUGCUUGGUGUACUUUCUGGUUGACGGGCCAGCAUCAGUUUUGACCGGUGGAUAAAGUUGUGAGGAAUGUGGCAUCUUCGGGUGUGUUAUAGCCUCNCUUCGUAUACAUCGGUUGGGNCUGAGGAACUCAGCACGCCGAAAGGCCGGGGUUCGCCCACGUUCGUGCUUAGGAUGUUGGCAUAAUGGCUUUAAUCGACCCGUCUUGAAACACGGACCAAGGAGUCUAACAUGCCUGCGAGUGUUUGGGUGGAAAACCCGGACGCGCAAUGAAAGUGAAAGUCGAGAUCCUUGUCAUGGGGAGCAUCGACGCCCGGACCAGAAGUUUACGGACGGCCUGCGGUAUAACAUGUAUGUUGGGACCCGAAAGAUGGUGNNCUAUGCCUGAAUAGGGUGAAGCCAGAGGAAACUCUGGUGGAGGCNCGUAGC
Molecule: ribosomal RNA, 820 nt
Filed under: Ephemerocybe bispora
Lineage: Eukaryota; Fungi; Basidiomycota; Agaricomycetes; Agaricales; Psathyrellaceae
Description: eukaryotic LSU rRNA
Rfam family: Eukaryotic large subunit ribosomal RNA
Source: RNAcentral